RNAcentral lists this ribosomal RNA (324 nucleotides) under Sandona sp. RNAcentral describes it as "SSU rRNA". It matches the Rfam family "Eukaryotic small subunit ribosomal RNA", at positions 634 to 955 of the family's 1831-position model. The record is from RNAcentral. Lineage: Eukaryota; Cercozoa; Glissomonadida; Sandonidae.
GAUUUCUGAACAUCAGUGUCUGGCCGGCCACGGUUUCGUGUGUUAGUGCUUGAUACUUUGUUCAUCCUUCCAAUCGCUUUAUACUAUUCUUCAUUGAAUUGGUAUGGGGUAUUGGAUCUUUUACUUUGAAAAAAUUAGAGUGUUUCAAGCAGGCUUCAAUGCUAUGAAUACAUUAGCAUGGAAUAAUAAUUUAGGACUUUGGUUCUAUUUUGUUGGUUUCUAGGACUGAAGUAAUGAUUGAUAGGGAUAGUUGGGGGUGCUAGUAUUCAGCGGCCAGAGGUGAAAUUCUCGGAUUCGCUGAAGACUAACUUAUGCGAAAGCAUU